Molecule: long non-coding RNA, 592 nt
Organism: Chelonoidis abingdonii (Abingdon island giant tortoise)
Lineage: Eukaryota; Metazoa; Chordata; Testudines; Testudinidae
Source: RefSeq, a predicted model, not a curated record
AUUGCAACAGCCUGGCCAGGAGGCAUUGGGUUUCAAGGCACAGCCUGCUCCGGAGUGUUCCGCUUUGCAAGGGAACAAAGUCCUUGGAGCCGCGGAAGCAGCAUAAGGCUCCGCUUUUCUGUGCCUGUGUAUUGCCGCGGUCUGUGCUUCCCUUUCUUUGCUGAAGGAACUUAGGAAGAUCUUUGGAAGACUCUGCUAGUGACGGCUUAUGAUAAUAUAACCUGAGCUACAGCUCUCCUACCAUUUGGCUUUGCCAAGCUCCUCCAGCACAGCAAGUGAAUCCAGGACCAGAUCAUUCUAACCGUGACAAGCAAGCCGGCAAGAAUGCUUCUUAAAACUCCAAUACGGCCCUUAUACAUCACACAGAAGCAGGAGAGGGCAGCAACAUUUAUUUUUUCGCCUUUGCCAGCCACCGUUGAGCAAAGAUUUGUCAGCGACCUCUGUUCAGAAAACAGUUUUAGCCUUUUUUGUUCACUUCUCUUGGAUUUAGCAAGGCUUCCAAAUUCAUGCGUAGCCAACUCCUCGCUGGAGCUGCCAGGAAAUGCAGCCAGAAACAAGUCUCUGUGGUAGGACAGCCUUGAGUGUGCAGCUC